CUGUGAGAGUGGGAGAAUCCCCGCCUGCUCCUGCUCUGGAAGGGCAGGUUGGAACAUGACGAUUGGAAUUCACAGGGAAUGGGAUUAAUGUCUCUGCAUAAUCAGGAUUCGCAGUACCCUGAUUGCUCCUAUCUGAU
Molecule: small nucleolar RNA, 137 nt
Organism: Nycticebus coucang (slow loris)
Lineage: Eukaryota; Metazoa; Chordata; Mammalia; Primates; Lorisidae
Product: U8 small nucleolar RNA
Exons: 1
Source: RefSeq, a predicted model, not a curated record